UAGAUGAUGAGCGCCAUCGAUGCUGAGGAGUGAUGACCGGAUUCCUGGCUGAU
Pyrococcus abyssi GE5 is the source of this 53-nucleotide non-coding RNA. The record is from Rfam. NCBI's taxonomy places the organism in Archaea, Methanobacteriati, Methanobacteriota, Thermococci, Thermococcales, Thermococcaceae.